Molecule: ribosomal RNA, 824 nt
Filed under: uncultured eukaryote
Lineage: Eukaryota
Description: SSU rRNA
Rfam family: Eukaryotic small subunit ribosomal RNA
Source: RNAcentral
CGGUGUUUAACUGGCGUGAUGUGGGACGUCCUACCGGUGGGCUUAGCCUCGCGAGGGGCGGCCCAACUAAUAUCCCGUCGCGGUGCUCUUUACUGAGUGUCGAGUCGGGCCGGUACGUUUACUUUGAACAAAUUAGAGUGCUUAAAGCAGGCUAUCCUCGCCUGAAUACUGCGUGCAUGGAAUAAUGGAAUAGGACCUCGGUUCUAUUUUGUUGGUUUUUGGAACCCCGAGGUAAUGAUUAAUAGGGACAGAUGGGGGCAUUCGUAUUGCGACGUUAGAGGUGAAAUUCUUGGAUCGUCGCAAGACGGGACAGAAGGAAAAGCCAUUUGCCAAAAAAUGUUUUUCUUUAAUCAAGAACGAAAGUUAAAGGUUCGAAGGCGAUCAGAUACCCCCCUAGUUUCUAACCAUAAACGAUGCCAGCUAGCGAUCCGCCGAAGUUCUUCCGAUGACUCGGCGGGCAGCUUCCGGGAAACCAAAGCUUUUGGGUUCCGGGGGAAGUAUGGUUGCAAAGCUGAAACUUAAAGGAAUUGACGGAAGGGCACCACCAGGAGUGGAGCGUGCGGCUUAAUUUGACUCAACACGGGAAACCUCACCAGGCCCAGACACCGGAAGGAUUGACAGAUUGAUAGCUCUUUCUUGAUUCGGUGGGUGGUGGUGCAUGGCCGUUCUUAGUUGGUGGAGCGAUUUGUCUGGUUAAUUCCGAUAACGAACGAGACUCUAGCCUGCUAAAUAGGCGUACCUUAUGGUAUCGCGAAGGCCCCCGGCUUCGGCCGGUGGGUUUUUACUACCAACGUACAAACAAAUCUUCUUAGAGGGACAGGCGG